CUAAAGCCUUCGCUUUGUGUUCGCUCUACCGAUUUGUCCGCAACCGAUCAUUUCUUUCUCUCACAAGCGGCAGUCGCUGUGAACCGUGAUUCCAACAUCUCCGUUGCAUUCGGGAGUGCGUCUUUAGCCGGCUUCUUUCUUCAGAGGAAAAAGCUUAUCCCUGCAGCCCAGAAAGGAGCGAUGGGGACAUCAAGUCGAUUUCUCUCCGACGGCGUAUAUCCCAGAGCUACUCAGCUAGCUAGGGUCAGAUUAUUGUAUGAAGGAGAUAUUCGUUUCUUUCCUCUGUCGACAGAGAAACUAAAAGUGAAGUACCGAAAAAUAAUGAAAGAAACGAAAUCUUUCGCCAUUUGAAAGGUAACACCUCGAAACAGUUCUAGGACUUGUGCUUUCAGCGAGAAAAGAAGUUGAGCACAAAAGUGCUCCUUUCCGGGCUACAGAGAGAAACCGAACUGUUUCGAGGUGUUACCUUUCAAAUGGGGAAAGAUUUCGUUUCUUUCAUUUUUUUCGGUACUACACUUUUAGUUUCUCUGUCGACAGAGGAAAGAAACGAAUAUCUCCUUCUUACAUAUCUGACUAGCUAGCUGAGUAGCUCUGGGAUAUACGCCGUCGGAUUGAAAUCGACUUGAUGUCCCCAUCGCUCCCCAGCGGAGGAAAACCAAGAAAAUCGGGGUUAGAGCAAAGGAAAACCAAGAAAAGCGGGGUUACAGGGAAUGAAAACCAAGAAAACGGGGAUAGAGUAAAGGAAAACCAAGAAAAGCGGGGUUAGAGCGGAGGAAAACCAAGAAAAGCAAAGUUAGAGCGGAGGAAAACCAAGAAAAGCGGGGUUAGAGUGGAGGAAAACCAAGAAAAACGGGGUUUGUGCGCAGGAAAACCAAGAAAAGCGAAGUUAGUGCAAAGGAAAACCAAGAAAAGCGGGGGUACAGCAGAGGAAAUCCAAGAAAAG
This 943-nucleotide long non-coding RNA is filed under the name Coturnix japonica (Japanese quail). RNAcentral's name for it is "lncRNA (ENSCJPG00005002766.1)". Lineage: Eukaryota; Metazoa; Chordata; Aves; Galliformes; Phasianidae. The record is from RNAcentral.